RNAcentral lists this ribosomal RNA (254 nucleotides) under uncultured bacterium. RNAcentral's name for it is "partial 16S ribosomal RNA". It matches the Rfam family "Bacterial small subunit ribosomal RNA", at positions 524 to 776 of the family's 1533-position model. The record is from RNAcentral.
CACGUAGGGUGCGAGCGUUGUCCGGAAUUAUUGGGCGUAAAGAGCUCGUAGGCGGUGUGUCGCGUCGGCCGUGAAAACCUGGGGCUUAACUCUGGGCGUGCGGUCGAUACGGGCAUCACUGGAGUUCGGCAGGGGAGACUGGAGUUCCUGGUGUAGCGGUGAAAUGCGCAGAUAUCAGGAGGAAUACCUAUGGCGAAAGCAGGUAUCUGGGCCAUCACUGACGCUGAGCUGCGAAAGCUAGGGGAGCAAACAGG